CUAGUACCUUUGAAAAUGGUGAAUUUCAGUUCCAUAUUUAAGGGAGCUUGAUACAGCUUGACAAAAUGUUUGUGUGUAAAGACAUUCAUUGUGAAGAAAUGUACUUACACCGCAACGCCACAUACCCAGAAAACCAAGAGGAACAGAAACAAAAGAUCCACGUUAGUAUCAUAGGAGUAGUGUUUGUAGGGAUAUUUGCUAUUGCUGUAUGUGUCAUGUGCGUAGCAAGAUGGAUACGACUCAACAGACUACGUAAUAUUAGACAUGUCAUCCUGACGGAAGACUAGGAAUAACAUUGAACACUCAUUUGAUUGAGUUCUGCAAGGCUAACGUUCAUUACUGAUUUCGUAUCAUUUCAAACUAAUGUGGAUUCACUAUUACUCGCGGAAGAAGCAUAGAUUUAUGGGAAUUCCCUUGAUAAUCAUAAAUCAUCAAUCAGAAUUAGCAAAAUUCCAAAUUCUCAUUGAUAUUUUGGGAAAAUUUCAUAAAAAAACAAAAUAGGGAAACCAGAUUCAUAAGACCAUUUUUGUUUGCUUUUAUCCGGAAACGAGUACAAACGAACAUGUUAUCGUUUUUUUUUGGUUUUUUUUUUGUAUGUGUAGAAAUAUCUUUUUCACACAUCUGACAGUGAUUAUUUUUUUUUCAUAUGCAUGUUAUUAUGUUAUAAUUUUACUUUUUAAAAAAGUUUCUGUUAUAUA
Long non-coding RNA from Mytilus californianus (California mussel), 698 nucleotides. RefSeq lists it as uncharacterized. Lineage: Eukaryota; Metazoa; Mollusca; Bivalvia; Mytilida; Mytilidae. The record is from RefSeq and is a predicted model, not a curated record. The transcript is spliced from 2 exons.